RNAcentral lists this transfer RNA (72 nucleotides) under Pangasius djambal. RNAcentral's name for it is "tRNA-Glu". Lineage: Eukaryota; Metazoa; Chordata; Actinopteri; Siluriformes; Pangasiidae. The record is from RNAcentral.
UUCCUGGAAGACUAGUGGUUAGGCCUCGGCGCUCUCACCGCCACACCCCGGGUUCGAUUCCCAGACAGGGAA